GGGUUGUGAGGUUAAGCGACUAAGCGUACACGGUGGAUGCCCUGGCAGUCAGAGGCGAUGAAGGACGUGCUAAUCUGCGAUAAGCGUCGGUAAGGUGAUAUGAACCGUUAUAACCGGCGAUUUCCGAAUGGGGAAACCCAGUGUGUUUCGACACACUAUCAUUAACUGAAUCCAUAGGUUAAUGAGGCGAACCGGGGGAACUGAAACAUCUAAGUACCCCGAGGAAAAGAAAUCAACCGAGAUUCCCCCAGUAGCGGCGAGCGAACGGGGAGCAGCCCAGAGCCUGAAUCAGUGUGUGUGUUAGUGGAAGCGUCUGGAAAGGCGCGCGAUACAGGGUGACAGCCCCGUACACAAAAAUGCACAUGCUGUGAGCUCGAUGAGUAGGGCGGGACACGUGGUAUCCUGUCUGAAUAUGGGGGGACCAUCCUCCAAGGCUAAAUACUCCUGACUGACCGAUAGUGAACCAGUACCGUGAGGGAAAGGCGAAAAGAACCCCGGCGAGGGGAGUGAAAAAGAACCUGAAACCGUGUACGUACAAGCAGUGGGAGCACGCUUAGGCGUGUGACUGCGUACCUUUUGUAUAAUGGGUCAGCGACUUAUAUUCUGUAGCAAGGUUAACCGAAUAGGGGAGCCGAAGGGAAACCGAGUCUUAACUGGGCGUUAAGUUGCAGGGUAUAGACCCGAAACCCGGUGAUCUAGCCAUGGGCAGGUUGAAGGUUGGGUAACACUAACUGGAGGACCGAACCGACUAAUGUUGAAAAAUUAGCGGAUGACUUGUGGCUGGGGGUGAAAGGCCAAUCAAACCGGGAGAUAGCUGGUUCUCCCCGAAAGCUAUUUAGGUAGCGCCUCGUGAAUUCAUCUCCGGGGGUAGAGCACUGUUUCGGCAAGGGGGUCAUCCCGACUUACCAACCCGAUGCAAACUGCGAAUACCGGAGAAUGUUAUCACGGGAGACACACGGCGGGUGCUAACGUCCGUCGUGAAGAGGGAAACAACCCAGACCGCCAGCUAAGGUCCCAAAGUCAUGGUUAAGUGGGAAACGAUGUGGGAAGGCCCAGACAGCCAGGAUGUUGGCUUAGAAGCAGCCAUCAUUUAAAGAAAGCGUAAUAGCUCACUGGUCGAGUCGGCCUGCGCGGAAGAUGUAACGGGGCUAAACCAUGCACCGAAGCUGCGGCAGCGACGCUUAUGCGUUGUUGGGUAGGGGAGCGUUCUGUAAGCCUGUGAAGGUGUGCUGUGAGGCAUGCUGGAGGUAUCAGAAGUGCGAAUGCUGACAUAAGUAACGAUAAAGCGGGUGAAAAGCCCGCUCGCCGGAAGACCAAGGGUUCCUGUCCAACGUUAAUCGGGGCAGGGUGAGUCGACCCCUAAGGCGAGGCCGAAAGGCGUAGUCGAUGGGAAACAGGUUAAUAUUCCUGUACUUGGUGUUACUGCGAAGGGGGGACGGAGAAGGCUAUGUUGGCCGGGCGACGGUUGUCCCGGUUUAAGCGUGUAGGCUGGUUUUCCAGGCAAAUCCGGAAAAUCAAGGCUGAGGCGUGAUGACGAGGCACUACGGUGCUGAAGCAACAAAUGCCCUGCUUCCAGGAAAAGCCUCUAAGCAUCAGGUAACAUCAAAUCGUACCCCAAACCGACACAGGUGGUCAGGUAGAGAAUACCAAGGCGCUUGAGAGAACUCGGGUGAAGGAACUAGGCAAAAUGGUGCCGUAACUUCGGGAGAAGGCACGCUGAUAUGUAGGUGAAGUCCCUCGCGGAUGGAGCUGAAAUCAGUCGAAGAUACCAGCUGGCUGCAACUGUUUAUUAAAAACACAGCACUGUGCAAACACGAAAGUGGACGUAUACGGUGUGACGCCUGCCCGGUGCCGGAAGGUUAAUUGAUGGGGUUAGCCGCAAGGCGAAGCUCUUGAUCGAAGCCCCGGUAAACGGCGGCCGUAACUAUAACGGUCCUAAGGUAGCGAAAUUCCUUGUCGGGUAAGUUCCGACCUGCACGAAUGGCGUAAUGAUGGCCAGGCUGUCUCCACCCGAGACUCAGUGAAAUUGAACUCGCUGUGAAGAUGCAGUGUACCCGCGGCAAGACGGAAAGACCCCGUGAACCUUUACUAUAGCUUGACACUGAACAUUGAGCCUUGAUGUGUAGGAUAGGUGGGAGGCUUAGAAGUGUGGACGCCAGUCUGCAUGGAGCCGACCUUGAAAUACCACCCUUUAAUGUUUGAUGUUCUAACGUUGACCCGUAAUCCGGGUUGCGGACAGUGUCUGGUGGGUAGUUUGACUGGGGCGGUCUCCUCCUAAAGAGUAACGGAGGAGCACGAAGGUUGGCUAAUCCUGGUCGGACAUCAGGAGGUUAGUGCAAUGGCAUAAGCCAGCUUGACUGCGAGCGUGACGGCGCGAGCAGGUGCGAAAGCAGGUCAUAGUGAUCCGGUGGUUCUGAAUGGAAGGGCCAUCGCUCAACGGAUAAAAGGUACUCCGGGGAUAACAGGCUGAUACCGCCCAAGAGUUCAUAUCGACGGCGGUGUUUGGCACCUCGAUGUCGGCUCAUCACAUCCUGGGGCUGAAGUAGGUCCCAAGGGUAUGGCUGUUCGCCAUUUAAAGUGGUACGCGAGCUGGGUUUAGAACGUCGUGAGACAGUUCGGUCCCUAUCUGCCGUGGGCGCUGGAGAACUGAGGGGGGCUGCUCCUAGUACGAGAGGACCGGAGUGGACGCAUCACUGGUGUUCGGGUUGUCAUGCCAAUGGCACUGCCCGGUAGCUAAAUGCGGAAGAGAUAAGUGCUGAAAGCAUCUAAGCACGAAACUUGCCCUA
RNAcentral lists this ribosomal RNA (2786 nucleotides) under Escherichia coli. RNAcentral's name for it is "bacterial LSU rRNA". It matches the Rfam family "Bacterial large subunit ribosomal RNA". The record is from RNAcentral. Lineage: Bacteria; Pseudomonadati; Pseudomonadota; Gammaproteobacteria; Enterobacterales; Enterobacteriaceae.